RNAcentral lists this ribosomal RNA (497 nucleotides) under uncultured bacterium. RNAcentral describes it as "partial 16S ribosomal RNA". It matches the Rfam family "Bacterial small subunit ribosomal RNA", at positions 28 to 507 of the family's 1533-position model. The record is from RNAcentral.
GAUGAACGCUGGCGGCGUGCCUAAUACAUGCAAGUCGAGCGAACAGAUAAGGUGCUUGCUCCUUUGACGUUAGCGGCGGACGGGUGAGUAACACGUGGGUAACCUAUCUAUAAGACUGGAAUAACUCCGGGAAACCGGGGCUAAUGCCGGAUAACAUGUUGAACCGCAUGGUUCUACAGUGAAAGGCGGCUUUGCUGUCACUUAUAGAUGGACCCGCGCCGUAUUAGCUAGUUGGUGAGGUAACGGCUCACCAAGGCAACGAUACGUAGCCGACCUGAGAGGGUGAUCGGCCACACUGGAACUGAGACACGGUCCAGACUCCUACGGGAGGCAGCAGUAGGGAAUCUUCCGCAAUGGGCGAAAGCCUGACGGAGCAACGCCGCGUGAGUGAUGAAGGUCUUCGGAUCGUAAAACUCUGUUAUUAGGGAAGAACAAAUGCGUAAGUAACUGUGCGCGUCUUGACGGUACCUAAUCAGAAAGCCACGGCUAACUACGUG